CUACGGGGUGCAGCAGUGGGGAAUAUUGCACAAUGGACGAAAGUCUGAUGCAGCAACGCCGCGUGGAGGAUGACACAUUUCGGUGCGUAAACUCCUUUUAUAUAGGAAGAUAAUGACGGUACUAUAUGAAUAAGCGCCGGCUAACUCCGUGCCAGCAGCCGCGGUAAUACGGAGGGCGCAAGCGUUACUCGGAAUCACUGGGCGUAAAGAGCGUGUAGGCGGAUAGAUAAGUCAGGAGUGAAAUCCUAUGGCUCAACCAUAGAACUGCUCUUGAAACUGUCUAUCUAGAAUAUGGGAGAGGUAGAUGGAAUUUCUGGUGUAGGGGUAAAAUCCGUAGAGAUCAGAAGGAAUACCGAUUGCGAAGGCGAUCUACUGGAACAUUAUUGACGCUGAGACGCGAAAGCGUGGGGAGCAAACAGGAUUAGAUACCCUUGUAGUC
RNAcentral lists this ribosomal RNA (439 nucleotides) under uncultured bacterium. RNAcentral's name for it is "partial 16S ribosomal RNA". It matches the Rfam family "Bacterial small subunit ribosomal RNA", at positions 339 to 795 of the family's 1533-position model. The record is from RNAcentral.